GAACUAGCUCAGUUGGUGGAGCAUGAGACUCUUAAUCUCAGGGCUGUGAGUUCGAGUCCUGCAUUGCA
Non-coding RNA from Podarcis lilfordi (Lilford's wall lizard), 68 nucleotides. The record is from the annotation of a GenBank genome assembly. NCBI's taxonomy places the organism in Eukaryota, Metazoa, Chordata, Lepidosauria, Squamata, Lacertidae.